AGUGAACGCUGGCGGUAGGCCUAACACAUGCAAGCCGAACGGCAGCACAGGAGAGCUUGCUCUCUGGGUGGCGAGUGGCGGACGGGUGGGGAAUACAUCGGAAUCUACUCUGUCGUGGGGGAUAACGUAGGGAAACUUACGCUAAUACCGCAUACGACCUACGGGUGAAAGCAGGGGACCUUCGGGCCUUGCGCGAUUGAAUGAGCCGAUGUCGGUUUAGCUAGUUGGCGGGGUAAAGGCCCACCAAGGCGACGAUCCGUAGCUGGUCUGAGAGUAUGAUCAGUCACACUGGAACUGAGACACGGUCCAGACUCCUACGGGAGGCAGCAGUGGGGAAUAUUGGACAAUGGGCGCAAGCCUGAUCCAGCCAUACCGCGUGGGUGAAGAAGGCCUUCGGGUUGUAAAGCCCUUUUGUUGGGAAAGAAAUCCAGCUGGCUAAUACCCGGUUGGGAUGACGGUACCCAAAGAAUAAGCACCGGCUAACUUCGUGCCAGCCGCCGCCGUAA
RNAcentral lists this ribosomal RNA (506 nucleotides) under uncultured bacterium. RNAcentral describes it as "partial 16S ribosomal RNA". It matches the Rfam family "Bacterial small subunit ribosomal RNA", at positions 29 to 523 of the family's 1533-position model. The record is from RNAcentral.